RNAcentral lists this RNase P RNA (256 nucleotides) under Candidatus Muproteobacteria bacterium RIFCSPHIGHO2_01_FULL_61_200. Its description in RNAcentral is "partial RNase P RNA component class A". It matches the Rfam family "Bacterial RNase P class A", at positions 1 to 235 of the family's 367-position model. From Rfam's summary of the family: Ribonuclease P (RNase P) is a ubiquitous endoribonuclease, found in archaea, bacteria and eukarya as well as chloroplasts and mitochondria. The record is from RNAcentral. Lineage: Bacteria; Pseudomonadati; Pseudomonadota; Candidatus Muproteobacteria.
GGAGUUGGCCAGACAGCCGCUUCCCGGCCACGUUCGCCGUGGCCGAGGGGAGGAAAGUCCGGGCUCCGCAGGGCAGGGUGCCAGGUAACACCUGGGCGGCGCGAGCCGAUGGAAAGCGCCACAGAAAAUAUACCGCCUAAGUCUUCCUGAUUCAUUUCAGGUGACCGGUAAGGGUGAAAUGGUGCGGUAAGAGCGCACCGCGCGGGUGGCAACAUCCCGUGGCAGGGCAAGCCCCACCCGGAGUAAGGCCAAAUAG